RNAcentral lists this ribosomal RNA (379 nucleotides) under Anaplasma platys. Its description in RNAcentral is "bacterial SSU rRNA". It matches the Rfam family "Bacterial small subunit ribosomal RNA", at positions 45 to 434 of the family's 1533-position model. The record is from RNAcentral. Lineage: Bacteria; Pseudomonadati; Pseudomonadota; Alphaproteobacteria; Rickettsiales; Anaplasmataceae.
AGCUUAACACAUGCAAGUCGAACGGAUUUUUAUCAUAGCUUGCUAUGAUAGAAAUUAGUGGCAGACGGGUGAGUAAUGCAUAGGAAUCUACCUAGUAGUAUGGGAUAGCCACUAGAAAUGGUGGGUAAUACUGUAUAAUCCCUGCGGGGGAAAGAUUUAUCGCUAUUAGAUGAGCCUAUGUUAGAUUAGCUAGUUGGUAGGGUAAAGGCCUACCAAGGCAGUGAUCUAUAGCUGGUCUGAGAGGAUGAUCAGCCACACUGGAACUGAGAUACGGUCCAGACUCCUACGGGAGGCAGCAGUGGGGAAUAUUGGACAAUGGGCGCAAGCCUGAUCCAGCUAUGCCGCGUGAGUGAGGAAGGCCUUAGGGUUGUAAAACUCU